This 433-nucleotide ribosomal RNA is filed under the name uncultured bacterium. RNAcentral's name for it is "partial 16S ribosomal RNA". It matches the Rfam family "Bacterial small subunit ribosomal RNA", at positions 29 to 507 of the family's 1533-position model. The record is from RNAcentral.
AACGAACGCUGGCGGCAUGCCUAACACAUGCAAGUCGAACGAGACCUUCGGGUCUAGUGGCGCACGGGUGCGUAACGCGUGGGAACCUGCCCUUAGGUUCGGAAUAACUCCCCGAAAGGGGUGCUAAUACCGGAUAAUGUCUUCGGACCAAAGAUUUAUUGCCUUUGGAUGGGCCCGCGUUGGAUUAGCUAGUUGGUAGGGUAAAAGCCUACCAAGGCGACGAUCCAUAGCUGGUCUGGGAGGAUGACCAGCCACACUGGGACUGAGACACGGCCCAGACUCCUACGGGAGGCAGCAGUGGGGAAUAUUGGACGAUGGGCGAAAGCCUGAUCCAGCAAUGCCGCGUGAGUGAUGAAGGCCUUAGGAUUGUAAAGCUCUUUUACCCGGGAUGAUAAUGACAGUACCGGGAGAAUAAGCUCCGGCUAACUCCGUG